This 505-nucleotide ribosomal RNA is filed under the name uncultured bacterium. Its description in RNAcentral is "partial 16S ribosomal RNA". It matches the Rfam family "Bacterial small subunit ribosomal RNA", at positions 28 to 507 of the family's 1533-position model. The record is from RNAcentral.
GACGAACGCUGGCGGCGUGCCUAAUACAUGCAAGUAGAACGCACAGUUUAUACCGUAGCUUGCUACACCAUAGACUGUGAGUUGCGAACGGGUGAGUAACGCGUAGCUAACCUGCCUGGUAGCGGGGGAUAACUAUUGGAAACGAUAGCUAAUACCGCAUAAUAUUAAUUAUUGCAUGAUAAUUAAUUGAAAGGUGCAAUUGCACCACUACCAGAUGGACCUGCGUUGUAUUAGCUAGUAGGUGAGGUAACGGCUCACCUAGGCGACGAAACAUAGCCGACCUGGGAGGGUUGUCGGCCAACCUGGGACUGGGACCCGGCCCAGACGCCUACGGGAGGCAGCAGGAGGGGAUCUUCGGCAAUGGACGAAAGUCUGAACGAGCAACGGCGCGGGAGUGAAGAAGGUUUUCGGAUCGUAAAGCUCUGUUGUAAGAGAAGAACGGGUGUGAGAGUGGAAAGUUCACACUGUGACGGUAUCUUACCAGAAAGGGACGGCUAACUACGUG